Bactrocera neohumeralis is the source of this 1818-nucleotide long non-coding RNA. RefSeq lists it as uncharacterized. NCBI's taxonomy places the organism in Eukaryota, Metazoa, Arthropoda, Insecta, Diptera, Tephritidae. The transcript is spliced from 6 exons. The record is from RefSeq and is a predicted model, not a curated record.
AAGCGACUUCGCGGGAAACUGGCUGGCAGCUGGCGCUAUAUAAGUAAAGCAGGCACCGUGCCUGGCCAGUGCUUAGGCAGCUCUCGCGCCACGAUGUGAUGUGAGUUAAAAUCAUGAAGCGACUUCGCGGGAAACUGGCUGGCAGCUGGCGCUAUAUAAGUAAAGCAGGCACCGUGCCUGGCCAGUGCUUAGGCAGCUCUCGCGCCACGAUGUGAUGUGAGUUAAAAGUCAUGAAGCGACUUCGCGGGAAACUGGCUGGCAGCUGGCGCUAUAUAAGUAAAGCAGGCACCGUGCCUGGCCAGUGCUUAGGCAGCUCUCGCGCCACGAUGUGAUGUGAGUUAAAAUCAUGAAGCGACUUCGCGGGAAACUGGCUGGCAGCUGGCGCUAUAUAAGUAAAGCAGGCACCGUGCCUGGCCAGUGCUUAGGCAGCUCUCGCGCCACGAUGUGAUGUGAGUUAAAAGUCAUGAAGCGACUUCGCGGGAAACUAGCUGGCAGCUGGCGCUAUAUAAAUAAAGCAGGCACCGUGCCUGGCCAGUGCUUAGGCAGCUCUCGCGCCACGAUGUGAUGUGAGUUAAAAGUCAUGAAGCGACUUCGCGGGAAACUGGCUGGCAGCUGGCGCUAUAUAAGUAAAGCAGGCACCGUGCCUGGCCAGUGCUUAGGCAGCUCUCGCGCCACGAUGUGAUGUGAGUUAAAAUCAUGAAGCGACUUCGCGGGAAACUGGCUGGCAGCUGGCGCUAUAUAAGUAAAGCAGGCACCGUGCCUGGCCAGUGCUUAGGCAGCUCUCGCGCCACGAUGUGAUGUGAGUUAAAAGUCAUGAAGCGACUUCGCGGGAAACUGGCUGGCAGCUGGCGCUAUAUAAGUAAAGCAGGCACCGUGCCUGGCCAGUGCUUAGGCAGCUCUCGCGCCACGAUGUGAUGUGAGUUAAAAGUCAUGAAGCGACUUCGCGGGAAACUAGCUGGCAGCUGGCGCUAUAUAAAUAAAGCAGGCACCGUGCCUGGCCAGUGCUUAGGCAGCUCUCGCGCCACGAUGUGAUGUGAGUUAAAAGUCAUGAAGCGACUUCGCGGGAAACUAGCUGGCAGCUGGCGCUAUAUAAAUAAAGCAGGCACCGUGCCUGGCCAGUGCUUAGGCAGCUCUCGCGCCACGAUGUGAUGUGAGUUAAAAGUCAUGAAGCGACUUCGCGGGAAACUGGCUGGCAGCUGGCGCUAUAUAAGUAAAGCAGGCACCGUGCCUGGCCAGUGCUUAGGCAGCUCUCGCGCCACGAUGUGAUGUGAGUUAAAAUCAUGAAGCGACUUCGCGGGAAACUAGCUGGCAGCUGGCACUAUAUAAGUAAAGCAGGCACCGUGCCUGGCCAGUGCUUAGGCAGCUCUCGCGCCACGAUGUGAUGUGAGUUAAAAGUCAUGAAGCGACUUCGCGGGAAACUAGCUGGCAGCUGGCGCUAUAUAAAUAAAGCAGGCACCGUGCCUGGCCAGUGCUUAGGCAGCUCUCGCGCCACGAUGUGAUGUGAGUUAAAAUCAUGAAGCGACUUCGCGGGAAACUAGCUGGCAGCUGGCGCUAUAUAAAUAAAGCAGGCACCGUGCCUGGCCAGUGCUUAGGCAGCUCUCGCGCCACGAUGUGAUGUGAGUUAAAAGUCAUGAAGCGACUUCGCGGGAAACUGGCUGGCAGCUGGCACUAUAUAAGUAAAGCAGGCACCGAAGAAAAUUCUGCUUUGUUCACAAUUUAUCACCACUUAUCAGUACCAAUAAUACAGCUCUCUUCAAAUAAACCACUUUUUCUUGAUCUAAUACAUAACAAUAAUUAUUAUUUAUAAAAUAUUUUCGC